This 692-nucleotide ribosomal RNA is filed under the name uncultured bacterium. RNAcentral describes it as "bacterial SSU rRNA". It matches the Rfam family "Bacterial small subunit ribosomal RNA", at positions 139 to 851 of the family's 1533-position model. The record is from RNAcentral.
ACGGAUAACAUACCGAAAGGUAUGCUAAUACGGGAUAAUAUAUUUGAGAGGCAUCUCUUGAAUAUCAAAGGUGAGCCAGCACAGGAUGGACCCGCGUCUGAUUAGCUAGUUGGUAAGGUAAAGGCUUACCAAGGCGACGAUCAGUAGCCGACCUGAGAGGGUGAUCGGCCACAUUGGAACUGAGACACGGUCCAAACUCCUACGGGAGGCAGCAGUGGGGAAUAUUGCACAAUGGGCGAAAGCCUGAUGCAGCAACGCCGCGUGAGUGAUGAAGGCCUUCGGGUCGUAAAACUCUGUCCUCAAGGAAGAUAAUGACGGUACUUGAGGAGGAAGCCCCGGCUAACUACGUGCCAGCAGCCGCGGUAAUACGUAGGGGGCUAGCGUUAUCCGGAUUUACUGGGCGUAAAGGGUGCGUAGGCGGUCUUUCAAGUCAGGAGUGAAAGGCUACGGCUCAACCGUAGUAAGCUCUUGAAACUGGGAGACUUGAGUGCAGGAGAGGAGAGUGGAAUUCCUAGUGUAGCGGUGAAAUGCGUAGAUAUUAGGAGGAACACCAGUUGCGAAGGCGGCUCUCUGGACUGUAACUGACGCUGAGGCACGAAAGCGUGGGGAGCAAACAGGAUUAGAUACCCUGGUAGUCCACGCUGUAAACGAUGAAUAGUAGGUGUCGGGGGUUACCCCCUUCGGUGCCGCAG